RNAcentral lists this ribosomal RNA (429 nucleotides) under Bacteroidota bacterium. RNAcentral's name for it is "Bacteroidetes bacterium partial 16S ribosomal RNA". It matches the Rfam family "Bacterial small subunit ribosomal RNA", at positions 355 to 776 of the family's 1533-position model. The record is from RNAcentral. Lineage: Bacteria; Pseudomonadati; Bacteroidota.
UAGGGAAUCUUCCGCAAUGGACGCAAGUCUGACGGAGCAACGCCGCGUGAGUGAAGAAGGAUUUCGGUUCGUAAAACUCUGUUGUCAGAGAAGAACAGCGCAUAGAGUAACUGUUAUGCGUGUGACGGUAUCUAACCAGAAAGCCACGGCUAACUACGUGCCAGCAGCCGCGGUAAUACGUAGGUGGCAAGCGUUGUCCGGAUUUAUUGGGCGUAAAGCGAGCGCAGGCGGUCAAUUAAGUCUGAUGUGAAAGCCCCCGGCUCAACCGGGGAGGGUCAUUGGAAACUGGUUGACUUGAGUGCAGAAGAGGGGAGUGGAAUUCCAUGUGUAGCGGUGAAAUGCGUAGAUAUAUGGAGGAACACCAGUGGCGAAGGCGACUCUCUGGUCUGUAACUGACGCUGAGGCUCGAAAGCGUGGGUAGCAAACAGG